UACAGAGGUCCCGAGCGUUGUUCGGAUUCACUGGGCGUAAAGGGUGCGUAGGUGGCAAGGUAAGUUUGAUGUGAAAUCUCCGAGCUUAACUCGGAAAAUGCAUUGAAUACUAUCUGGCUAGAGGUUUGGGGGGGGACUGGAAUUCUUGGUGUAGCAGUGAAAUGCGUAGAUAUCAAGAGGAACACCAGUGGCGAAGGCGAGUCCCUGGACAACACCUGACACUGAGGCACGAAAGCUAGGGGAGCAAACAGG
Molecule: ribosomal RNA, 252 nt
Filed under: uncultured bacterium
Lineage: Bacteria
Description: partial 16S ribosomal RNA
Rfam family: Bacterial small subunit ribosomal RNA
Source: RNAcentral